Long non-coding RNA from Hipposideros armiger (great roundleaf bat), 1308 nucleotides. RefSeq lists it as uncharacterized. The record is from RefSeq and is a predicted model, not a curated record. The transcript is spliced from 3 exons. Lineage: Eukaryota; Metazoa; Chordata; Mammalia; Chiroptera; Hipposideridae.
GGGCCCCCAGCAGCGAAGGCGAGAGUCGAGGCGUUGGAGGACUCUCCACACAGGGACGUCCGUUCCACUCCUUAAGGGUCGGGGGCACGCCAGCCCUGGGAGGCGCCCGGAGCAAAGGAGGCUAUUAAUUGGGAGUGGAACUCAAUAUGCUGAGUUCUGGCCAGGACACUGAUUGCAGCAGGUGUCUAAGAGGUCCCAGGGAUCCAGCUGGGAGAUGCCCCUAGGACCCCCUUUCAUCAUGCAUCUUGGUGGCCAUCCUGAAGCCAGGCCAGGUGGUGAAGGGGGACAGCCAACGGAUGAGAGAAUUUUGAGAAUGGAAUCUCUGGACCUUCGGUGGUGCUGGGUUGGGCAUCUGGAGACGUGAGUUCAAGUCACCCUUUGGUUACUGCCUUCAUGACCUUGGAUGGCCUGUUCAUCCUGCAUCUCCCACCUCUCUUUCCUUGACUGAACAGUGAGUGGGCUGAGUGGAGGAAUUUAGAGGCAGGCUCCUGAAGGGGAGCUGGAAGCCCAGGGACCUUUCCUUAAUGGAAUCCAGGAACGUAGAGGCCUUGGUUUGGAGCCCACCAGUGGUGUCCCUGUGGAAACUUCCUGUUUCAGGAAGCAGGGCUGGAAGUACCCAAGCAGGCUUGAGCAGGACUUGGACUAAGAGUAAAGAGCUGUUAAUGGGAUGUGAAUGCCCAUCCAAGGACCGUAUCUGCCAACUUUCCUUGCAUGUAGAGAGACUAUGUGGCUAAUUCUCACCAAUGGAAUGCAGGCAGAAGUGACAUUUUCCUGGAAGAGGCACCUAAGAAGCAUGUGUACCCUGUCUGGCCUCUCUUCCCCCAUCUGCUGGCAGGAUGCUCAAGACUCAAAGCCCUGGGGAGGGGAGAGGGAGUCCCAAGAUGGAAGGAGCCUGGGUCCCUGUAUCAUCUCGUGGAGGAGAGCUGCCUGCUGACUAAGAACAUCAAUGUUGUGGAGAGCCUUUUGUGUCAGAUCAGCGCUUCAUUAGCUUUGGCCUUGGGGAGAGAGAUGAGGUAGGUGAACCCGCUGGGAAACCACCCCAAAGCCCAGCAUCUGGACCCUCCUCUCUGUCUGAAGCACGGCUGGAGGGUCAGCAAUGCGAGGCUGUGCUGGGGUGGGGAGCUUGUUUUCUGGGCCUGCUGUCCAGUUUCUCUUGUCGUUGAAAGAAAAUACAAACCUACAGAAAAAUUUUAUAAGAGUUUAUUUGAGCCAAAUUUCAGGAUGUGCCUGGAAGUGAGAUCUCAACGGACUGAGAAAAUGGUCUGGAGAAUGGCAGUUAUGCAUUUAGAAUCAAAGGAGAGAAAGCAA